This 497-nucleotide ribosomal RNA is filed under the name uncultured bacterium. RNAcentral describes it as "partial 16S ribosomal RNA". It matches the Rfam family "Bacterial small subunit ribosomal RNA", at positions 28 to 507 of the family's 1533-position model. The record is from RNAcentral.
GAUGAACGCUGGCGGCGUGCCUAAUACAUGCAAGUCGAGCGAACAGACGAGGAGCUUGCUCCUCUGACGUUAGCGGCGGACGGGUGAGUAACACGUGGAUACCCUACCUAUAAGACUGGGAUAACUUCGGGAAACCGGAGCUAAUACCGGAUAAUAUAUUGAACCGCAUGGUUCAAUAGUGAAAGACGGUUUUGCUGUCACUUAUAGAUGGAUCCGCGCCGCAUUAGCUAGUUGGUAAGGUAACGGCUUACCACGGCGACUAUGCGUAGCCGACCUGUGAGGGUGAUCGGCCACACGGGAACUGAGACACGGUCCAGACUCCUACGGGAGGCAGCAGUAGGGAAUCGUCCGCAAUGGGCGAAAGCCUGGCGGAGCAACGCCGCGUGAGUGAUGAAGGUCUUCGGAUCGGAAAACUCUGUUAGUAGGGAAGAACAAAUGUGUAAGGAACUAUGCACGUCUUGACGGUACCUAAUCAGAAAGCCACGGCUAACUACGUG